Molecule: ribosomal RNA, 526 nt
Filed under: uncultured bacterium
Lineage: Bacteria
Description: bacterial SSU rRNA
Rfam family: Bacterial small subunit ribosomal RNA
Source: RNAcentral
AGGGUUUGAUUCUGGCUCAGGAUGAACGCUAGCGGCAGGCUUAACACAUGCAAGUCGAGGGGUAACAGGGAUUGCUUGCAAUCCGCUGACGACCGGCGCACGGGUGCGUAACGCGUAUGCAACCUACCUUUUACUGGGGGAUAGUCAAGAGAAAUUUUGAAUAAUACCCCAUACGAUCUGAUUCACUCCUGUGAAACAGAAGAAAAUUACGAUGGUAAAAGAUGGGCAUGCGUCCUAUUAGUUUGUUGGUGAGGUAACGGCUCACCAAGACUACGAUAGGUAGGGGUCCUGAGAGGGAGAUCCCCCACACUGGUACUGAGACACGGACCAGACUCCUACGGGAGGCAGCAGUGAGGAAUAUUGGACAAUGGAGGCAACUCUGAUCCAGCCAUGCCGCGUGCAGGAUGACGGCCCUAUGGGUUGUAAACUGCUUUUAUACAGGAAGAAACGUUAGUACGUGUACUAACCUGACGGUACUGUAAGAAUAAGGAUCGGCUAACUCCGUGCCAGCAGCCGCGGUAGUACA